GACGAACGCUGGCGGCGUGCUUAACACAUGCAAGUCGAACGGAAAGGCCCCUUUGGGGGUGCUCGAGUGGCGAACGGGUGAGUAACACGUGAGUAACCUGCCCUUGACUUCGGGAUAACUUCAGGAAACUGGGGCUAAUACCGGAUAGGAAUCCUUGCUGCAUGGUGGGGGUUGGAAAGCUUCGGCGGUUUUGGAUGGACUCGCGGCUUAUCAGCUUGUUGGUGGGGUAGUGGCUUACCAAGGCUUUGACGGGUAGCCGGCCUGAGAGGGCGACCGGCCACAGUGGGACUGAGAUACGGCCCAGACUCCGACGGGAGGCAGCAGUGGGGAAUAUUGAACAAGGGGCGGAAGCCUGAUGCAGCAACGCCGCGGGCGGGAGGACGGCCUUCGGGUUGUAAACCGCUUUCAGCAGGGGCGAAGCUUGUGGUGACGGUACCUGCAGAAGAAGCACCGGCUAACUACGUG
RNAcentral lists this ribosomal RNA (465 nucleotides) under uncultured bacterium. Its description in RNAcentral is "partial 16S ribosomal RNA". It matches the Rfam family "Bacterial small subunit ribosomal RNA", at positions 28 to 507 of the family's 1533-position model. The record is from RNAcentral.